Molecule: transfer RNA, 85 nt
Filed under: Candidatus Woesebacteria bacterium RIFCSPHIGHO2_01_FULL_39_28
Lineage: Bacteria; Candidatus Woeseibacteriota
Also listed under: 1 other name
Description: tRNA-Tyr
Rfam family: tRNA
About the family: Transfer RNA (tRNA) molecules are approximately 80 nucleotides in length. Their secondary structure includes four short double-helical elements and three loops (D, anti-codon, and T loops).
Source: RNAcentral
GCCAAGGUGGCGGAGUGGACAAUCGCACCUCUCUGUAAAAGAGGCGGUCGAAAGGCCUACCUAGGUUCGAAUCCUAGCCUUGGCA